GUGCUCAACGCCUUCCGGCAUCACGGCGAGCCACGGUAC
Molecule: non-coding RNA, 39 nt
Organism: Myxococcus stipitatus DSM 14675
Lineage: Bacteria; Pseudomonadati; Myxococcota; Myxococcia; Myxococcales; Myxococcaceae
Source: Rfam